RNAcentral lists this ribosomal RNA (484 nucleotides) under uncultured bacterium. RNAcentral's name for it is "partial 16S ribosomal RNA". It matches the Rfam family "Bacterial small subunit ribosomal RNA", at positions 30 to 507 of the family's 1533-position model. The record is from RNAcentral.
AUUGAACGCUGGCGGCAGGCCUAACACAUGCAAGUCGAGCGGAUGAAGGGAGCUUGCUCCUGGAUUCAGCGGCGGACGGGUGAGUAAUGCCUAGGAAUCUGCCUGGUAGUGGGGGAUAACGUCCGGAAACGGGCGCUAAUACCGCAUACGUCCUGAGGGAGAAAGUGGGGGAUCUUCGGACCUCACGCUACCAGAUGAGCCUAGGUCGGAUUAGCUAGUUGGUGGGGUAAAGGCCUACCAAGGCGACGAUCCGUAACUGGUCUGAGAGGAUGAUCAGUCACACUGGAACUGAGACACGGUCCAGACUCCUACGGGAGGCAGCAGUGGGGAAUAUUGGACAAUGGGCGAAAGCCUGAUCCAGCCAUGCCGCGUGUGUGGAGAAGGUCUUCGGAUUGUAAAGCACUUUAAGUUGGGAGGAAGGGCAGUAAGUUAAUACCUUGCUGUUUUGACGUUACCAACAGAAUAAGCACCGGCUAACUUCGUG